UCGUGCCGGGAGGAGGGGUGGAGCCGGAGGAGGAGCCUGGCGGUGCUGCUGCAAGGGAAGUGUAUGAAGAGGUGAGAGGAGACUGUCUUGGGGUUUUACAGGACGGGCUUCUGGUGCUUUGCCAGGCUGGAGUCAAAGGAAAAUUAGGCAGACUCCUGGGAAUAUUUGAGAAUCAAGACCGGAAGCACAGAACAUAUGUUUAUGUUCUGACAGUCACUGAAAUAUUGGAAGACUGGGAAGACUCUGUUAACAUAGGGAGGAAGAGAGAGUGGUUCAAAGUGGAAGACGCAAUCAAGGUUCUUCAGUGUCACAAGCCUGUCCACGCAGAGUACCUGGAAAGGCUGAAGCUGGGGUGUUCUCCGACCAAUGGGAAUUCCACAGUCCCUUCCCUCCCAGAUAACAAUGCCUUGUUUGUGACUGCCGCACCACCCUCUGGGGUGCCAUCCAGUAUAAGAUAGAGAGCUGGGGCCCCUCCCCCACCGUGUCAUGGCACAUGUCAGAGGGAGAGAGGCUUUUUUACUUCUAACACAUCUGACUGCUGCUGGCAGACUCUAGAUUUGCCAUGCAGGGGUUUCAAAUAAUUUGCAUGUAUUUCAGAUGCUUUCAACUCUUUUAAAAUAAAUAACAAAAUAGCAAAAAU
Molecule: long non-coding RNA, 640 nt
Filed under: Rattus norvegicus (Norway rat)
Lineage: Eukaryota; Metazoa; Chordata; Mammalia; Rodentia; Muridae
Description: long non-coding RNA NONRATT026697
Source: RNAcentral